UAGGGAAUCUUCCGCAAUGGGCGAAAGCCUGACGGAGCAACGCCGCGUGAGUGAUGAAGGUCUUCGGAUCGUAAAACUCUGUUAUUAGGGAAGAACAAAUGUGUAAGUAACUAUGCACGUCUUGACGGUACCUAAUCGGAAAGCCACGGCUAACUACGUGCCAGCAGCCGCGGUAAUACGUAGGUGGCAAGCGUUAUCCGGAAUUAUUGGGCGUAAAGCGCGCGUAGGCGGUUUUUUAAGUCUGAUGUGAAAGCCCACGGCUCAACCGUGGAGGGUCAUUGGAAACUGGAAAACUUGAGUGCAGAAGAGGAAAGUGGAAUUCCAUGUGUAGCGGUGAAAUGCGCAGAGAUAUGGAGGAACACCAGUGGCGAAGGCGACUUUCUGGUCUGUAACUGACGCUGAUGUGCGAAAGCGUGGGGAUCAAACAGG
RNAcentral lists this ribosomal RNA (429 nucleotides) under Actinomycetes bacterium. RNAcentral describes it as "Actinobacteria bacterium partial 16S ribosomal RNA". It matches the Rfam family "Bacterial small subunit ribosomal RNA", at positions 355 to 776 of the family's 1533-position model. The record is from RNAcentral. Lineage: Bacteria; Bacillati; Actinomycetota; Actinomycetes.